This is a long non-coding RNA of Cucumis melo (muskmelon), 1004 nucleotides long. RefSeq lists it as uncharacterized. The record is from RefSeq and is a predicted model, not a curated record. The transcript is spliced from 5 exons. Lineage: Eukaryota; Viridiplantae; Streptophyta; Magnoliopsida; Cucurbitales; Cucurbitaceae.
AGCAAAUUCUUUGCUCUAAAUACCAAAAUGAAAAUGAGAUUUCAAGAUUUUGGUAAGGGUUCCCCUUUGAGGAACGAUUUGAAAAGCUGAAGAGCGGCUCUUGGUUUGAACAAUGGAACUUCAUGCCCUGCUCCUCUAACUGUUGCAAAGCUGUGAAAUGGAAUAUCUUGUCGCCGUUACAGGCACCACUGAGUCCACAUCUCCACUGAAAAUCAUUUCCCACAAACUUCAUCAUCGGGCGGUUGAUAAAAUGCCUCAAAGAAAUGGAAGAUACUUUUUUGGCUCGAUCAGCAUGAUUUAUUGAUAGGUGUUAAUGAGCUCGUGGUACGUCUUGUCCGAGAUCAUGGCAUGGCUCCACCAUGGAUACGAAGUGAACGGGGAGAGAAGUAACAAGACGAGAGAAAAGGACAACAGAAAAAGCUGAGGAAGUUACCAUAAUUCCCUUGAGAUGAAUAGGGUGGGAGGACUUUGCAUUGUAGGCCAAGAUUUCUCUGGCAAGCUGGGGAACAUAAUGGCCAGCAUAGCUUUCACCUGUUAUAAAAAUGUCGCGGGUCUUGUACCAGGGGAAACGGUUGAGCCAUCGUACAAGGAACUCUAAGGAGUCCUUUGCUGAAACAAUGUUUAUGAUCAGUCACAAGUCCAUCCGUCCGUCCAUGCAUCCAGAUAGGGGUACCAGUUCGACGAUCACCGGUGUUGAGUAGGUCGGAGGAGCGAUUGGUGUAGGAGAACCCGACGCCAGCUGGAGUUUCAAGAAAGAGGAGGUUGGCGAGGGAGUUCCAAGAGAACUUAUUGGGUACUAAGCCCGAGGCCUUAUUGUUGAUUCUAAAGGGACCAAUCUCUUCUGAAGCUCCAUACGCUAUGGAGGAGCAACCCGGACCUAACAAUUACUUAAAUCAAAUGCAUUUCAAUAAUAAUAUUAAAUAACUAAGGUCAAGUUUGGUAAUAUUUUGUUUUGUAUUUUUGGAUUUUAAAAUUAAACCUAAAGGCACUUCUUACAUCUCUAA